GUCGAAAUAAUUUUUUUUCUGUCAUCUUCUGCAAUAAUUGAAACUUCCCCAAAGUCAAUUAUACAUAUCGUCGGCGCAUCAUCGGAGUAAUCGCAUCUGAAUAUCCAUUUGAUACGAAAAUCAUCACAAAAAACGGUAGCCUCAAUGUUUUCUCCACGUCAGAUCGCCGUUACCCUCGCUUUUCCUCUCUUAAUCCUCUUCCUUACAACUCUACCGCCGUUAGUCACCGCCGCUGCAGCUACCGGCGACGCCGACGCCGUAAACGGUGGCACUUCCCUCACUGCUUACGACUUACUCGUAAGCUACGGCUUCCCCGUCGGAAUUCUUCCACAAGGUGCUAUUGGGUACGAUCUCGAUAAGGACACCGGAAAAUUCAGUGUACAUCUUAAUGGGUCUUGCAGUUUCGCAUUAGAAGGGUCUUAUCAGCUUAGGUAUCAAUCGAGAUUCGGUGGGUACAUAGCUAAAAAUAGGCUUUCAAGCCUACAUGGGGUUAGUGUAAAAAUUCUGUUUCUUUGGCUGAAUAUUGUGGAGGUUGUUAAGAAUGGUGACAAUCUUGAGUUCUCUGUUGGAAUUGCUUCGGCUAGCUUUCCCACUUACAAUUUCCUGGUUUGUCCACAAUGUGGAUGUGGAUUGAAUUGCAAUAGCAAUGGACAUAUUCUAAAGAUUCGAAACAGUAACCUUGUCUCUUCUGUUUAGCUGCACACAGAAGGAUGAUGGAGCCUGAGUUUACUGAAA
This 735-nucleotide unclassified non-coding RNA is filed under the name Hevea brasiliensis (rubber tree). Lineage: Eukaryota; Viridiplantae; Streptophyta; Magnoliopsida; Malpighiales; Euphorbiaceae. The record is from RNAcentral.